GCAAAACAAGCUUGUAUGUAUAUAUAUCUGUAACCCCUCUACAUAGCUAUUUAGCAACCCAUGUAUGUAUAUUGAUAAUAUAUAUAUAACAAAACAAAACAAAAGUAUCGUAACAAGUGACUAUUAAAAUUAAUCAUCAGCACAGAAUAUAAUUGAGGACCCUCAAAGGAAAUGAGGUCUGCAAUUUUCUUGAAUCUCCUGGCUUAAAAAAUGAUAUUUAAUAGUGCAAUUCACUUCUACCGCAAGAUGCUUCUUGAUAAUGUUGAGUAUCUUCACCUUCCCAUCAAUUACUGUGCUGGUGCUCACAGUUAAAGAACCUGAAAUUGCAUCCUUAACCCAGCUUGGAACUUCCAAAAUUUUCUCAGGAAUCAUAUUCACCGUAACGUUCAUGUGAAUCGUCCGCCUUGCCUUGGCCUUCUCUGACGGAGUCCUCGCCUCGCCGACCACCGUGCCACCAUACAAAACAGUUGUUGUUCCGUUGUUGAACUUGAAGGAGGCGAAGUUAGGGUUUUUCACUGAAAUAUCAGCAAGAAGUGUGACGUUGGCAUCGGUUCUGAAACUGAAACUCCCAUUAGGUAGCAGCAGUGGUUCCAGGUCCAGGGUUAGGGUGUUCAUCCUGACAACAGGAUCCUUGAUAUGAAAAACAGUGAAAAAGAGGACUAGAACGGUGACAGCUAGAAUUAAAAGGAAGGCAAUGAAACAGCCGCAACACUUGAUGCAUUUUCGCUGGUGAAGCUUCAAUUGGGUGGAUAAGGCUUCCUCUUCAUCGCUGAGGGAUUGGAAUGCAGAAGCAGCUAAAGGCUUGGCCUGCUCUGUGGUCUCAGCCAUGGCCACACGCUGGAAUGGAAAAGAAUGAUUCAAUUUUUUUAGUAAUAUAAACGGCUAGAUUUUGUCCAUAGUGUUUGACAUGUAACCAUCUCAACGACUUCACUACGCGUUUUACACGCACGGCGUGAACGACUUGACUUUUGACUGUGCGCACUACGGAUAUUAUGGGAAAUUUCCACCUUCGAUUUAAGGUAAAAAUAUCAAUUACACUUCAAAUUAAAAUUAGGAGAUCUACUAUUGUAAAAUAAAAAUACUGA
This 1085-nucleotide unclassified non-coding RNA is filed under the name Hevea brasiliensis (rubber tree). Lineage: Eukaryota; Viridiplantae; Streptophyta; Magnoliopsida; Malpighiales; Euphorbiaceae. The record is from RNAcentral.